Molecule: ribosomal RNA, 465 nt
Filed under: uncultured bacterium
Lineage: Bacteria
Description: partial 16S ribosomal RNA
Rfam family: Bacterial small subunit ribosomal RNA
Source: RNAcentral
GACGAACGCUGGCGGCGUGCUUAACACAUGCAAGUCGAACGGAAAGGCCCUGCUUGCAGGGUACUCGAGUGGCGAACGGGUGAGUAACACGUGGGUGAUCUGCCCUGCACUUCGGGAUAAGCCUGGGAAACUGGGUCUAAUACCGGAUAUGACCUUCCAUGUAGUGUGGGGGGUGGAAAGAUUUAUCGGUGUGGGAUGAGCCCGCGGCCUAUCAGCUUGUUGGUGGGGUAAUGGCCUACCAAGGCGUCGACGGGUAGCCGGCCUGAGAGGGUGGACGGCCACAUUGGGACUGAGAUACGGCCCAGACUCCUACGGGAGGCAGCAGUGGGGAAUAUGGCACAAUGGGCGGAAGCCUUAUGCAGCGACGCCGCGUGGGGGAUGACGGCCUUCGGGUUGUAAACCUCUUUCGACAGGGACGAAGCUUCGGUGACGGUACCUGUAGAAGAAGCACCGGCUAACUACGUG